GGCCAGAGGGUCACGAUCUGGGCCUCUGGCGCUGGAGGGACCCACAAUCCUCCCUCUGACCUGGUGUGGAAGACUCAGCCUUCUUGGGGCACCGGAGAUCUGUUCCAGACCACCCUGAUCAGCGCCAACGGAGAGGAGAUGGCAAUGAGGAAGGUCACACGCACACAGUUUGAAGAAGAAGAUGACGACAUGGUGGCUCACAGCACCUGUGGAGACAGUGAGUACAACCUGCGGAGCCGAACGGUGGUCUGCGG
Molecule: non-coding RNA, 254 nt
Organism: Plectropomus leopardus (leopard coralgrouper)
Lineage: Eukaryota; Metazoa; Chordata; Actinopteri; Perciformes; Serranidae
Source: RefSeq, a predicted model, not a curated record